Molecule: ribosomal RNA, 76 nt
Filed under: Priestia aryabhattai
Lineage: Bacteria; Bacillati; Bacillota; Bacilli; Caryophanales; Bacillaceae
Also listed under: 1 other name
Description: Bacillus aryabhattai partial 16S ribosomal RNA
Rfam family: Bacterial small subunit ribosomal RNA
Source: RNAcentral
AUUUCUUCGGAGAGUUUGAUCCUGGCUCAGGAUGAACGCUGGCGGCGUGCCUAAUACAUGCAAGUCGAGCGAACUG